AGCCACCUCCAGCAGAGCUCCGUACCCAGAACUCAAGCAUACACCCCAGGACUACUUCAUGGGAGCCACGCUUACAAACCCAGCCGCCAUCCUGAGCAUCUAAACCUUCAUUUCCCUUGGAACACACGGGAUGGCAUCACCUCCCCAGACACACACACACACCCCAGGCGUGACAGAGGAAAGCGGCAUCGAGGCAUUGUGGCAGCCCUAGGCAAAAGGAAUCUUAAGAAAGCGCAUCUUGCCAACACAGCAGCACUGGGAGGACGUUGCCUGUGGUCAGCAGUAAGAGUGAAACUGAGUAUCUACAGCCAGUUCCCAGCAGAGAAAAUCUGAGCAAAGCCACGUCUAUAAUUCACUUUCUUAAUGUGAGACCAGCAAAAAGACCGAAACGCUACAUGGGGGCUGUGUCUGAGCAGGGAGCAGUGUCCUGCUAUUGCCACCUCGUGGGCCCUUGCAGCAAUAACCAGGUAACCGAACACGUUUCCACUGAUAGAUGCAUCCAGUCCCUAGAAGUCUGGAUCCUUUUCUCAUCUGUUUCAUGGUGAAAGGCUCCUGUAAACUUCAGAGGGAAUUUGGUCAUCUAUUUCACUGCUCAAUUUUAACUUAGUUUUAAACCAGGUUCUUUUGUGUUAGGAGAAAUAUGGAC
Coturnix japonica (Japanese quail) is the source of this 646-nucleotide long non-coding RNA. RefSeq lists it as uncharacterized. The record is from RefSeq and is a predicted model, not a curated record. Lineage: Eukaryota; Metazoa; Chordata; Aves; Galliformes; Phasianidae.